This 722-nucleotide non-coding RNA is filed under the name Pongo abelii (Sumatran orangutan). The record is from RNAcentral. Lineage: Eukaryota; Metazoa; Chordata; Mammalia; Primates; Hominidae.
GAGGAUGUGGAUGCUGUUGAUCUGCGGCCCACACUUUGAGAAGUACACAGGUGACAGCUGUGGUGGAAAGAACUCCAAUCCAGGAAUCAAAACAUGUCUUCACAUUUUGGCCAUGGAACUUGGGGGUCUUGCUUUGUUGCUCAGGCUGGAGUACAGUGGUGCAAUCUUGUCUCACUGCAGCAUCGACCUCUGGGGCUUAAGCCAUCCUGCACUUCAGCCUCCCAAGUAGCUGGUACUACAGCUUUGCCUCCUCCAGGAGAUGCAACAACAAGGCGCCAUCUUGGAAGUAAAGACCAGGCCCUCACCAGACACCAAACCUGCUGGUGCCUCGAUCUUCAACUUCCAGCCUCCAGAGUGUCAUGGUUUCUGGAAGAAAAGACUCAAGAUGUUUUCAGUAGCUGCCGUUUUCAGACAUCAUGAAAGUUUUCUCCUACCCUCUAUAAAAACAAACAAACAAUAAAACUCUACAAAGGAAAAGCGCAAAAAACAUGCUGACUUUAGAAGAAUCCAUGAUUUAGAAUAUUUUUAUAAAUAUCUAAGAAAACAGGAGUCCUUUCCAUAUAUAUGGUCCUUGGAGAUACUUUCCAUAUAUAUGGUCCUUGGAGAAUCCAGUUUUUAUGAGAAAGGUGAUUUCCAAAAUCUCUUACACUUUACAAUUUCAAUUUUGGCCUGAGCAUAUCUCUCGAUUGAUCUACCUACCUACAUACUGAUCUAUCUUGGAU